AACGAACGCUGGCGGCAUGCCUAACACAUGCAAGUCGAGCGAGACCUCCGGGUGCAGUGGCGUACGGGUGUGUAACGGGUGGGAACAUGAACUUAGGGUCGGAAUAACUAAGAGAAAUUUGAGAUAAUACCGGAUGAUAGCUAAGGACGCAAGAUUUAUUGAAUUGAAAUGGGCCCGAGUGGGAUUAGCUAGUUGGGAGGGUAAAGGCCUCCCAAGGCGACGAUCAGUAACUGGUCUGUGAGGAUGAUCAGCCACUCUGGGACUGAGACACGGCCCAGACUCCUACGGGAGGCAGCAGUGGGGAAUAUUGGACCAUGGGCGAAAGCCUGAUCCACCAAUGCCGCUUGAGUUAUGAAGGCCUUAGGGUUGUAAAGCUCUUUUACCCGAGAUGAUAAUGACGGUAUCGGAAGAAUAAGCCCCGGCUAACUCCGUG
RNAcentral lists this ribosomal RNA (433 nucleotides) under uncultured bacterium. RNAcentral describes it as "partial 16S ribosomal RNA". It matches the Rfam family "Bacterial small subunit ribosomal RNA", at positions 29 to 507 of the family's 1533-position model. The record is from RNAcentral.